Long non-coding RNA from Myotis brandtii (Brandt's bat), 354 nucleotides. RefSeq lists it as uncharacterized. NCBI's taxonomy places the organism in Eukaryota, Metazoa, Chordata, Mammalia, Chiroptera, Vespertilionidae. The transcript is spliced from 3 exons. The record is from RefSeq and is a predicted model, not a curated record.
AUUAUGAGCUAAUCUGCUAUGAACAUUCUUGUACAAGUAUUUGUGGAGAAAGAUGUCUUUUCUUGGGCAUACUGAUAUGUGGUGAAAAGGAGACAGACAGGAAAUUAUAUAAUUUCUGGCAGUAGAAAACAGAACGAUGUGAUAGAACAGUGGUUACAAACUAGAGCGCUCCUUGUCUAUAUUAGAAUAAGUGGAAUUGGAAGCAGAAUGAGAAGCAAGACUUUAUUUUCACAAACAACAAUAAUUAUUUAGAAGGAAAUAUUUGUUACCUACCCUUGAAGCUCAGGUACCUAUUUGGCUUAUAACUUCCUCUGGAUAAUUAUCUCAGUUGAUCUUAUCUGGCUAUUAUCUCAA